RNAcentral lists this microRNA precursor (103 nucleotides) under Marmota monax (woodchuck). Lineage: Eukaryota; Metazoa; Chordata; Mammalia; Rodentia; Sciuridae. The record is from RNAcentral.
AGUAGGAUAACUGGGUCAAAUGGUGGUUCCAUUCCAAGUUUUCUAAGGAAUCCCCAUACUGCUUUCCAUAGCAUUUGAACCAAUUUGCUGUCCCACCAGCAAU